AGAGUUGUCAGAAUCCAGAAGGCGAAGACUGGGGGGAAAUAUUGAUCACUUUCAGAAACUGAGUAUUAGGUAAUAAGAUGAAGCACAAGUUCAGAAAUAGAUGUGGAAAAAAUCCCAUUUGUCUUCCUCUUCUACAAUAUCUCUGUACCUUUUCAAUUACAAUUUUCUUAAGUUGCAAAUAUUUCACUCUGUAAUAGGCAUUUACUAAACCUUCAGAAGUAAUGGUAACCUGUUAUGCAUGUGUUUCAACCCUAUUUCUUCCAUAGGUAUUUCAAAGUCUGUUUGUACCAUUGCACGAUGAAAUAGGGAGAAAAGAAGUACAAGGGUUUGAAAUUGUAACUCCUACAUGAGAGAGGGAAAUUGAAGCAAAGGGAGUUGUGAAAUGUAAUACUUUUAAACUUCCUUUCAGAGAAGUUGAAGUUGUAAUACUUUUACUUGUGGCAGCAUAAAACAAAACCAGUUUAUCCUCG
This 470-nucleotide long non-coding RNA is filed under the name Phaseolus vulgaris (common bean). Its description in RNAcentral is "long non-coding RNA (PVUL_LNC005353)". Lineage: Eukaryota; Viridiplantae; Streptophyta; Magnoliopsida; Fabales; Fabaceae. The record is from RNAcentral.